This 244-nucleotide ribosomal RNA is filed under the name uncultured bacterium. Its description in RNAcentral is "partial 16S ribosomal RNA". It matches the Rfam family "Bacterial small subunit ribosomal RNA", at positions 116 to 354 of the family's 1533-position model. The record is from RNAcentral.
CGUGGGUAACCUGCCCAAGAGACUGGGAUAACACCUGGAAACAGAUGCUAAUACCGGAUAACAACACUAGACGCAUGUCUAGAGUUUAAAAGAUGGUUCUGCUAUCACUCUUGGAUGGACCUGCGGUGCAUUAGCUAGUUGGUAAGGUAACGGCUUACCAAGGCAAUGAUGCAUAGCCGAGUUAAGAGACUGAUCGGCCACAUUGGGACUGAGACACGGCCCAAACUCCUACGGGAGGCAGCAG